Molecule: ribosomal RNA, 240 nt
Filed under: uncultured bacterium
Lineage: Bacteria
Description: partial 16S ribosomal RNA
Rfam family: Bacterial small subunit ribosomal RNA
Source: RNAcentral
AGCGUUGUUCGGAAUUACUGGGCGUAAAGGGCUCGUAGGUGGCCAACUAAGUCAGACGUGAAAUCCCUCGGCUUAACCGGGGAACUGCGUCUGAUACUGGAUGGCUUGAGGUUGGGAGAGGGAUGCGGAAUUCCAGGUGUAGCGGUGAAAUGCGUAGAUAUCUGGAGGAACACCGGUGGCGAAGGCGGCAUCCUGGACCAAUUCUGACGCUGAGGAGCGAAAGCCAGGGGAGCAAACGGG